AGCGCUCCUUCCUCAGAAGGACCACAGCAAGACCUGUCUCAAUCACCCAGAUGCCAGUUCAGAUCAACCCUGCUGUGCCUGGAAAUCCUGUUGGGUAAAUCUGAGUGACGCAUGAGUUUGAAUAGCUUACAGUAGAUACUUUCAAGAGAUCUUCUCUUCUCUGCAAUAAAUUUCAUUUUUUAUUUAGAAUAUUACAGGCUUAUUGUAAACUAUAAUGCUUAGCUUUAAACUGACAAAUUGUCACCAUUUGUAACAAAUGUUACAUGAAAUGUACCGAAUACUGAAUAAAAGCAAUUGAUUUUGUUGCAGUUGUGAGUAUUUUCUCCUUUGAUUUCACCCUCUUAAUCAUAUAUUAUAUUGCACUCACUC
Sinocyclocheilus grahami is the source of this 369-nucleotide long non-coding RNA. RefSeq lists it as uncharacterized. Lineage: Eukaryota; Metazoa; Chordata; Actinopteri; Cypriniformes; Cyprinidae. The record is from RefSeq and is a predicted model, not a curated record. The transcript has 3 exons.